Molecule: long non-coding RNA, 811 nt
Filed under: Sorghum bicolor (sorghum)
Lineage: Eukaryota; Viridiplantae; Streptophyta; Magnoliopsida; Poales; Poaceae
Description: long non-coding RNA (SBIC_LNC018392)
Source: RNAcentral
CUCCCAUAACAAAAUGCAAAGGAUAAAAAUAGGUCAUCUCCAAAGGAAUUGACAUUUGGACUUGGCAAAUGAUAAAAAUAGAAGGUCUCCAGGCGCGCGGGCUUUCCUUGCGCGUGACUUUGCUCGCGCGAUUGGGUUUGCAAAGCCAUCCACAACUUGACAUUUUUACCAAGUUUGCUCCCUCAUUUGCCAAGUUGCCCAAAUUGCAAACUCCAAAUGCAAAACCGUUGGAUACCUCUUUUGGAGCUUUUUGGCAAAUUACUCAAAUGCAAACCUCAAAUGCAAAACCCUUAGAGAUGCUCUAAUAUCGCCUAAAUUAUCCUUCCUUGCUCAUUUAAUUAAGAAAGCAGAACCGAUAGAGAAGUGACACAUGCAGAACUUUUUCUCUCUCUUACUCAACUUUGCAUCCAUAGUCGAGUACGCUACACAUCCUCUUUUUACAUAUGGAACUGCUAAACUCUUUUUAGUGGUACAAAUAAUAAUUGGCUCUCUUCUUCUAGAGAAGAGGUGCUCGGAUCAGAACUAAAAAGAAAUUGCUCUACUAGAGAAGUUAGAGGCAGAACAAUAAUCUUAACCGGAGCUGAAGCUCUAACAAACAUAUCCUUAUAUUAAGAAUUAAGAAAUAAAUAAAUAAAUAAAGUCAUUUUCAUGACGUCGUCGUACCGUUGACCGUUGACCGACCAAGAGAUCGACGGGAUGAAGUGAGACCAACGCCCGUGAUAAGCAGCCAAAUGGAGCAGAGCGAGGGUCCCUCCCCUUCAUUCAACUGCAGCUAGCCAAUGGUGUUUUCUAUAAGUACGGUCGUCCGGUG